AAAAACAACAACACACACACCCUGCGCCUUUUAUUAUUAUUAUUAUUAUUUAUUUUUAUUAUUAUUAUUGCUCUCUUGUCGUUCUUGGAUUCUCAUUUCCUUUUGCGGACCACAUAAAUAAAAAUAAAUAAGUUAUGAACAGACAGCAGCAUGACUGACGCGCCAUCUUAAAAACGCGACGCAUCGUGAGACGCGUCACAACUACCAAAGCCCUGAGAGGUAUACAUGCGUGUUAAAAAAAAUAAAUAAAAUAACAUUCCAGGAAAGAGCACAGGAACUCACCAUACAUGUACACCUAGGCUCUGUAAAAUAAACUUGUAAGUGUUAACUUUUAUCGUAUUUAACAGCACGUCAGCACAACCACGCGCCACUAACCCUGCUGUCAGUGAUGACAGCGGCUCACCUGGACGAUCCGAGCCCUCGUCUCCUGUCGAAACACCCAGCACUCAGAGCUGACACCCUCCAGACAGCUUUAAACCUCUCGCCUCGACACUGUCCUCGUCCGUGAGUGUGAAGUGGAGGCUGUGGGUGUGUGAAUGUGGCUCUGCGUUCUUCUGGUCGUUGACUCUGUUCGGGCCGCUGAGCCUGCGGCACAUCUUCAGGAAAAACCGGUACAGGUGCUCACACGAGGGUGUGUCGACUCACACUGUAGAUCAGCCUCAAACAGAGAUGGAUAUCCAGCCUUAAACUUGAUUCGAACUUAAAGCCUAGGCUAAGGCCUAGUAACCUGUAGUAGCCUGCUCCCUCAGAAAAUCCCUCUUGUUCAGUCCACACCAGACUAGUGUGGUUUAAAGAGAGAGAGAGAGCGAGAGAAAGCCACAUACACUCCCACAGUUGUGUGUCGUUGGGCCCCGGGCUGUGUCUCCAGGAAUGACAUCGGACAGGUUUGAGAGCGGCAGACGCAGUCCUGAAGGACACACACCAUGAGUUCUCACAUGAACAAGUAACUGACGUUUGACUGCUUGUCCGCUUACACUUUAGAGCGAUUUCCAUUAAGAUCCAAACGCAAGUUAAGAAACAUUAUCGGGUGAACGCAAGUCAUUUUGGGACACAUCCUGCCAUCGAGAUGACUGCGGAAAUGCCCUGAUUAUUCUGAAU
Long non-coding RNA from Carassius gibelio (silver crucian carp), 1098 nucleotides. RefSeq lists it as uncharacterized. The record is from RefSeq and is a predicted model, not a curated record. Lineage: Eukaryota; Metazoa; Chordata; Actinopteri; Cypriniformes; Cyprinidae. The transcript has 3 exons.